CAAUAGCGUAUAUUUAAGUUGUUGCAGUUAAAAAGCUCGUAGUUGGAUUUCGGAUGGGAUUUGCCGGUCCGUCGUUACGAUGUGCACUGGCCAGUCCUAUCUUGUUGUCGGGGACUAGCUCCUUGGAUUCACUUCCUGGGACUAGGAGCUGACGAGGUUACUUUGAGUAAAUUAGAGUGUUCAAAGCGAGCCUACGCUCUGAAUACAUUAGCAUGGAAUAACACGAUAGGACUCUGGCUUAUCUUGUUGGUCUGUGAGACCAGAGUAAUGAUUAAGAGGGACAGUCGGGGACAUUCGUAUUUCAUUGUCAGAGGUGAAAUUCUUGGAUUUAUGAAAGACGAACUUCUGCGAAAGCAUUUGUCAAGGAUGUUUUCAUUAA
This 379-nucleotide ribosomal RNA is filed under the name uncultured eukaryote. RNAcentral describes it as "partial 18S ribosomal RNA". It matches the Rfam family "Eukaryotic small subunit ribosomal RNA", at positions 592 to 976 of the family's 1831-position model. The record is from RNAcentral.